AGGGCGUAUGGGGAAUGCCUAGGCUCUCAGAGGCGAUGAAGGACGUGAUAAGCUGCGAUAAGUUGCGGGGAUCAGCACAUGUGAAUUGAUCCGCAAAUUUCCGAAUGGGGCAACCCGGUAUAUUGAAGAUAUAUCAUCCUUAUAGGAUGCAAACCUGGUGAACUGAAACAUCUAAGUAGCCAGAGGAAGAGAAAACAAAAGUGAUUCCGCUAGUAGUGGCGAGCGAAAGCGGAAUAGCCCAAACCAAAUAUGUUACGGCAUAUUUGGGGUUGUAGGACCGUGACAUUUGAUGUGUAAUGAAUAGGAAUCUUUUGGAAAAAAGAACCAAAGAGGGUGAUAGUCCUGUACUGGUAAGUUACAUUAUUGAUAACGGUAUCCUGAGUAGUGCGGGGCACGUGAAACCCUGUAUGAAUCUAGCGGGACCAUCCGCUAAGGCUAAAUACUCCUGAGAGACCGAUAGUGAACUAGUACCGUGAGGGAAAGGUGAAAAGAACCCUGAAUAAGGGAGUGAAAUAGAUCCUGAAACCAUACGCUUACAAGCGGUCGGAGCCCUUAUGGGGUGACGGCGUGCCUUUUGCAUAAUGAGCCUACGAGUUACCGUUGUUAGCAAGGUUAAGGAUUUCAGAUCCGUAGCCGUAGCGAAAGCGAGUCUGAAUAGGGCGUAUAGUUAGCAGUGGUAGACGCGAAACCGUGUGAUCUACCCAUGGGCAGGGUGAAGCUGUGGUAACACACAGUGGAGGCCCGAACCGGUUGACGUUGAAAAGUCUUCGGAUGACCUGUGGGUAGGGGUGAAAGGCCAAUCAAACUCGGAAAUAGCUCGUACUCCCCGAAAUGCAUUUAGGUGCAGCGUUGAGCAAAAGUUUUAUAGAGGUAGAGCUACUGAUUGGAUGCGGGGGCUUCACCGCCUACCAAUUCCUGACAAACUCCGAAUGCUAUAAAAUGUUUCUCAGCAGUGAGGGCAUGGGUGCUAAGGUCCAUGUCCGAGAGGGAAAGAACCCAGACCAUCGGCUAAGGUCCCCAAAUAUAUGUUAAGUUGAAAAAACGAGGUUUGUCUGCCCAGACAGCUAGGAUGUUGGCUUGGAAGCAGCCAUUCAUUUAAAGAGUGCGUAACAGCUCACUAGUCGAGCGGACGAGCAUGGAUAAUAAUCGGGCAUAAACAUAUUACCGAAGCUAUGGAUUAACGUUGAAAGACACGUUAGUGGUAGGGGAGCAUUGUAACCUGCGUAGAAGGUGUGCUGUGAGGCAUGCUGGAGUGGUUACAAAAGAAAAUGUAGGCAUAAGUAACGAUAAUGGGGGCGAGAAACCCCCACACCGAAAGACUAAGGUUUCCUCAGCGAUGCUAAUCAGCUGAGGGUUAGUCGGGUCCUAAGGCGAAUCCGAAGGGAGUAGUCGAUGGACAACAGGUUAAUAUUCCUGUACUUCUUAUAAUUGCGAUGGGGUGACGGAGUAUUGAAAGCACCGCGAACUGACGGAAUAGUUCGUUGAAAACUGUAUCUAUAAGAUCUGUAGGCAAAUCCGCAGAUUUUGGAGAAGGUUGAUAGUACUACAAGGCUUCGGCUGCGUAGAUAGUGUGCCUAAAAGCUUCCAAGAAAAACCUCUAAGCUUCAGAUUAUAAGAACCCGUACCGUAAACCGACACAGGUAGUUGGGAUGAGAAUUCUAAGGUGCUCGAGAGAUUCAUGGCUAAGGAACUAGGCAAAAUAGACCCGUAACUUCGGGAGAAGGGUCGCCCAUCUUCGGAUGGGCCGCAGUGAAAAGGUCCAGGCGACUGUUUAUCAAAAACACAGGGCUUUGCUAAAUUGAAAGAUGAUGUAUAAGGCCUGACACCUGCCCGGUGCUGGAAGGUUAAGUGGAGUUGUUAGCUUCGGCGAAGCAGUGAAAUGAAGCCCCAGUAAACGGCGGCCGUAACUAUAACGGUCCUAAGGUAGCGAAAUUCCUUGUCGGGUAAGUUCCGACCUGCACGAAUGGUGUAACGAUCUGGACACUGUCUCAGCCAUGAGCUCGGUGAAAUUGUAGUAUCGGUGAAGAUGCCGAUUACCCGCAGCGGGACGAAAAGACCCCGUGAACCUUUACUAUAGCUUAGUAUUGGCUUUGGAUAAGUAAUGUGUAGGAUAGGUGGGAGACUACGAAGCGGCGUCGCUAGGCGUUGUGGAGUCAUCCUUGAAAUACCACCCUUUGCUUAUCUCGAGUCUAACUCAGAGAUGAGGACAGUGCUUGGUGGGUAGUUUGACUGGGGUGGUCGCCUCCAAAAGAGUAACGGAGGCUUCUAAAGGUACCCUCAGCACGCUUGGUAACCGUGCGUAGAGUGCAAUGGCAUAAGGGUGCUUGACUGAGAGACAUACAAGUCGAUCAGGUUGGAAACAAGAGCAUAGUGAUCCGGUGGUUCCGCAUGGAAGGGCCAUCGCUCAAAGGAUAAAAGGUACUCCGGGGAUAACAGGCUGAUCUCCCCCAAGAGCUCAUAUCGACGGGGGGGUUUGGCACCUCGAUGUCGGCUCGUCACAUCCUGGGGCUGGAGAAGGUCCCAAGGGUUGGGCUGUUCGCCCAUUAAAGUGGCACGCGAGCUGGGUUCAGAACGUCGUGAGACAGUUCGGUCCCUAUCUGCUGUGGGCGUUGGAAAUUUGCGCGGAUCUGCUUCUAGUACGAGAGGACCGAAGUGGACGAACCUCUAGUCUACCUGUUGUGGCUCCCGCUGCAUCGCAGGUUCGCUACGUUCGGAUUUGAUAAUCGCUGACCGCAUCUAACCAA
RNAcentral lists this ribosomal RNA (2744 nucleotides) under marine metagenome. RNAcentral's name for it is "bacterial LSU rRNA". It matches the Rfam family "Bacterial large subunit ribosomal RNA". The record is from RNAcentral.